Non-coding RNA from Brachypodium distachyon (stiff brome), 136 nucleotides. Lineage: Eukaryota; Viridiplantae; Streptophyta; Magnoliopsida; Poales; Poaceae. The record is from Rfam.
GUAUUACUCCCUCAGUCCAACAAAAGAUGUCUCAAGUUUGUCAGAAUUUAAAUGUAUCUAGACAGGACUUAGUGUAUAGAUGCGUUCAAAUUUAGUCAAAAUUGGGACAUCCUUUUUUGAUCGGAGGGAGUAGUUA